UCGAGCGGAUGAGUAGGAGCUUGCUCUCCUGAUUCAGCGGCGGACGGGUGAGUAAUGCCUAGGAAUCUGCCUGGUAGUGGGGGACAACGUUUCGAAAGGAACGCUAAUACCGCAUACGUCCUACGGGAGAAAGUGGGGGAUCUUCGGACCUCGCGCUAUCAGAUGAGCCUAGGUCGGAUUAGCUAGUUGGCGAGGUAAAGGCUCACCAAGGCGACGAUCCGUAACUGGUCUGAGAGGAUGAUCAGUCACACUGGAACUGAGACACGGUCCAGACUCCUACGGGAGGCAGCAGUGGGGAAUAUUGGACAAUGGGCGAAAGCCUGAUCCAGCCAUGCCGCGUGUGUGAAGAAGGUCUUCGGAUUGUAAAGCACUUUAAGUUGGGAGGAAGGGCAUUAAGUUAAUACCUUACUGUUUUGACGUUACCGACAGAAUAAGCACCGGCUAACUUCGUGCCA
RNAcentral lists this ribosomal RNA (455 nucleotides) under uncultured bacterium. Its description in RNAcentral is "bacterial SSU rRNA". It matches the Rfam family "Bacterial small subunit ribosomal RNA", at positions 62 to 510 of the family's 1533-position model. The record is from RNAcentral.